GCUGUCACUUCUUCUGGGUCUGGCGCCCUCUCGUGCUUGGAGCCCGCACUCCAAGCAGGGCGCCCUCUGGUGGAGGUGGGCCAGCAGUACCUCCUCUUCAGCGGCCCACACAACAAAUAGAUGUUCCAAAUGUCCUGCGAUUUCAGAACAAGGUAAUUCAAGAACACUUCAUUCUUUAGAGGAACAUGUUCUGCUUUUGAUACAUGAGGUGAGUAAAUCAUUCAACCGAGCAAAAUAGGUGCACAAAUGGAGGCUGCACUCUGUGGAGGCUGUAAGUCAGAUGCAACCUAUUGUAAAUUCAAACUUUUUUCCACACAAAUGUCUUGUCACAGCAUUAAUAAUUUAUAUGGUCACCACAAACAUGUUUCCAUGAGUAAUCCAACCUGCCAGUUUCCAACAGCCAUACAGUAGAAGAUGAUGUAAUUUGAAUUAUUUGCCUUUUUAUUCAAAUUGGGGGGGGGGGGGGGGGGGGGGUGUAAUUGCAUUGGGUUUGUUGUACUCUACUUCUGAUUGGAUUUGCCCCCACCUUCUCUUUUGUGUGUGUGUGUGCAAUUGAUUUGGCUGAGGAUUGUUCUUCUUAUUGUGUUGUUGGUUUCUUUGAUGACCCCUUUCGUAAUGUUUUACCAGCCACUGCUCCUGACAGCCUGAUGUACUCCCACUCCAUUGUUGGUUGCAGUGAUAGGUCCCAGUUUCUGAUUUCCUGAUGUAUGGCUCUCAUGUCCUUAAAUGACCAGAAAACAUACAGAAUGAACCACCCCAUUAUGAAUGCCUGCUCAUCUGUGAUUGUCCUGACCCCUACCCUGAAAACAAGAACGGAGCCCAAACCAAGACAGAAAACAAGUUUCUCCAUCUUAAGGCCGUUGUUGAUUAACCUCCAGCUUCCCUCAUGUCAGACGGUUCAAAGGGUAAAUCCAGUGGACAAUAUAUAUGGAAAUGUAGAUUAUUCACAGUAACAGGAACGCUACUGUACAUCGUAUGCACCAUUGGAGCUUAAAGUGGCAGAGGGGCGAAAGUUAUGAAAUAAUAUUGUCUGUCUGCAAGAAGGAAUGAUAUCUCCAAAAAAUGGUGGAUGGAUUUUCAUGAUGUGCCUGAGUAGAGAACAGUUGAGUAAAUGUUGCUGGUGAUCCAAGUCUGCCUCAAAUUUAUACAUUUUACAGUGCGUCCAGGAAUUAUUCACCGUUUUUUCAAAAGAGGCCCCAUGCUCUAGUCGGGUGUGGUUGGAGCUCCCCAUUCAUUAAACACAGCUGUGAUGUUUACGGGAGCCUCGGCUAUGUAGUGCAUCCUUAAAAUGAGUCUCGCCGUUGUCCUGGCUGUUGCACUGAGGUAAAGACAAAAACUUUAUGGUCGCGUCAUAAAGCAACUCUUUAAACUCAGCGUCUAGGGGAGGAGUUAGGACUUCCUUUCGAAAACAUGGACUUAAUGCAAAACACGCACACACACACACACACACACACACACACACUAGGAUUUCCUUUCGACGGCCUUCACACUUGUUUUUUUGGGAGGGGUGGAGGCGUUUGAGGUUUAAUCAAUUGCAACAGACAUAGAGUCUGCUGUUUUUUGGGGGGCGGGGGGCACAAAACACACACACACCGUUGGAGUCUCACUUGGGUCUACAGGAGAGGUUCAGAGGUGAGGGCGGUAUAUAAAGUAAUCUUAAAUGCAGUCCUUUUUUAAUGAUUAUAUUAAAUUUUUAUAAUAAAUAUAGAUUUUCAUCAAUAAUAACAUUACUGCAUCAGAGGAAAAAAAAUAAAGACUCCUUCACUCAAAUGAUGACCAUGAUGAUGCAAUAGUGAUGGAGUAAGUAAAUAUAACCCAAACAGCUGGGCUCUGUAAAUAUUCUGUUAUCUGCUGCACUAUCAUAUGAGGGGCGAUUGAGAAGUUUGGAUCCUGACAGGGAAACUGGUAUAAAUGCUAUAUGUUAUAAAAAACAAUUCCUUGCAGUCUGAAAA
This is a long non-coding RNA of Thalassophryne amazonica, 1952 nucleotides long. RefSeq lists it as uncharacterized. Lineage: Eukaryota; Metazoa; Chordata; Actinopteri; Batrachoidiformes; Batrachoididae. The transcript has 4 exons. The record is from RefSeq and is a predicted model, not a curated record.